Molecule: long non-coding RNA, 362 nt
Organism: Polyodon spathula (Mississippi paddlefish)
Lineage: Eukaryota; Metazoa; Chordata; Actinopteri; Acipenseriformes; Polyodontidae
Exons: 3
Source: RefSeq, a predicted model, not a curated record
GUGCAAGCGAGCCAACAAAGAAUGGUAAAGCCAACAGUAAAUAUGAUGGCAAGAAAUCUGAGUUGUCCAAGGUGAAGAGUCUGAACAGAGGUGAUGAUUCUGCAAAAAAAAGGAAGCAACAAGCAAACAAAAAGCAACGCAUUAUCAUUGACUCAGGUAUGCUACAGCUACAAGGCGCCCAUGAUCGGCCUGCGUCUGCAAAACAGAAGGGAAACCACGUUGUUUAACAGCAAGUUUCUGAAGAAGAGGUGCCAGUAAAGAAGCACAGGAAACCCUCCAAGGAAUCCCCCAAGGAAUCCCCCAAGGAAUCCAAGUCUUCAUCCAAACCUGCACACCCAGCAAAAAAAUACCCUGUGGUGGAU